AAUUCUGACAUACAGCAGGUACAUACAAUUGUAAAGGAGUAUGACACAGUCACUACAAAAGAGUAGACCCUAGAGAGGUAGUGGAAUGAUCACCUAGGAUGCAUUAACUUUUGCUUGGCCUUCCAACUGCUACUCUGUUUGUUCCGUUCUUGUCAUUUUGUGUUGUGGGUCAUUUCCUUGUUUGUCCUUCUCUCCCUCUCUUUGUCUCUCUAGAUUUUUAUCUCCUGCAAAUUCAGCAGUCUUUUUUCUCCUAGUUUUCAGAAAAUGGAAGAAGUAAUCAUGGAACAAGGAGAGAUGGAGACGCCUUUGAUUCCCACAAAACACAGGAAACAGCAGCAACAGGAAUCUCCUCCAUGUUCAGACUCCAUAGCAGUAGUGGUUCUUGGCACUUUUGUUGCUGUUUCUGGAUCUUAUAUCUUUGGCUCUGCUAUAGGAUACUCAUCACCAACACAGUAUGGGAUUAUGAAUGAACUUGACCUUUCCUUAGCAGAGUACUCAUUUUUUGGUUCAAGUUUAACAAUCGGAGCAAUGACAGGUGCCAUAAUGAGUGGCCGCAUAGCGGAUGUCCUCGGACGUAGGGGUGCUAUGUGGGUUGCCGAUAUAUUUUGCAUUAUUGGUUGGCUCGCAAUACUCUUUUCGAAGGGUGCUUGGGUGCUUGACAUUGGAAGACUAUCAAUGGGAUACGGAAUAGGGCUUCUCUCUUAUGUGGUUCCUGUGUAUAUAGCUGAGAUAACACCCAAGAAUCUUCGAGGAGCAUUUACUACAGUUAAUCAGUUGAUGAUAUGCAUUGGCGCAUCUCUUACCUUUCUAUUUGGAACAAUGGUCACAUGGCGCACUCUAGCACUACUUGGAACCAUUCCGUGCCUAGUACAAUUUAUAGGGCUCAUCUUCAUUCCUGAAUCUCCUAGAUGGCUGGCAAAAGUGGGUAAAGUGGAAGAUUUUGAAUUCUCCCUUCGACGUCUUCGGGGAAACAAUGCCGAUAUAUCUGAAGAAGCCGCAGAAAUUAGAGAUUAUACCGAGACCAUUCAGCGACUGCCAAAAGCCAAAACCUUGGAUUUGUUUCAGAGAAAAUAUGCUCAUUCGCUCAUUGUUGGAGUUGGAUUAAUGGUCCUACAACAAUUUGGAGGUGUUAAUGGAAUUGCAUUUUACGCGAGUUCAAUUUUUGUUUCGGCAGGUUUUUCUUCGGGCAAUGUUGGAACUAUAGCAAUGGUUGCAGUUCAGAUACCCAUGCAAAUAUUAGGUGUACUUUUAAUGGAUAAAUCCGGGAGAAGACCACUUCUUAUGAUUUCUGCAGCUGGAACUUGCUUGGGUUGUUCCCUAGCAGGAUUGUCGUUUCUCUUGCAGUCAAGUACUUUCUCACAAGCAUGGUAGCCAAUUCCCUAAAGAGCUGAGUCCAACAUUGGCCCUUACGGGCAUUCUGGUGUACACAGGAUCUUUCUCAUUAGGCAUGGGUGGGAUACCAUGGGUUAUCAUGUCCGAGAUAUUUCCAAUAAACAUGAAGGGCACAGCAGGGUCCCUAGUGACCUUAGUAAGCUGGUUUGGUUCUUGGAUUGUUUCAUACGCUUUCAACUUUCUCAUGGAGUGGAAUUCAGCAGGUACAUUCUUCAUAUUUUCAAGCAUUUGUGGCUUCACCAUUCUCUUUGUAGCAAAGCUGGUACCAGAAACUAUGGGUCUAACACUGGAAGAAAUACAAGCCUCUAUGAAUCCAUUCUCGAUGGCGAAAUAGAAUUGUUUAAGGUGCAUUUAACAUGAUAACAAUGAUCUGAUUAAGGUAGAAACAACAAGGUCUUCCCCUCUUGUACUGCAUUUGUUGUAACAUAUAGAGCAUAAACGCCACAAUGUUCUCAUUCGCGAAUGUACCUGGUUUUAACUUCUAAGACCAUGUGAAACAUCAUUGAUCCAGCACGUUGACAACAGCUUCAAGGCCGUCCAGUCGACAGUACCUACAGUUUUAUUAUCCUUCCCCAAUCAAAAUGGUCAGGGAUGGGCGCAGUUGGAAUCCUUAUGGGUACGGAUACGUUCGUCUUUCGAUUAUAGCAGGAGAUACGGCCAUCAUGUGAUUGUAUGAAGAUGAAAUCUGUCUCAGUAAGAGCUACAAUGGAAGAAGAACCUGGACAUACAUAAUCGUAAGGUGUUAUCAAUACCUUCUCAUCUCUCCAUCUCAUGUGGCCAUCCUUAGAUAGUUCAUGACAUAUCCAUAAAGAAGAAGUCUGCUGAUCAUCUGGUGUACUCAUUAAAAUAGCUUCAUUCCCAUCAAUUUCCAUCAUUACCGACCGAGCUUGUUGUAAAGAAUCCGGUAAGUCU
Papaver somniferum (opium poppy) is the source of this 2304-nucleotide RNA transcript. It is a transcript of the gene named sugar transporter ERD6-like 5, with no coding region annotated. Lineage: Eukaryota; Viridiplantae; Streptophyta; Magnoliopsida; Ranunculales; Papaveraceae. The record is from RefSeq and is a predicted model, not a curated record. The transcript is spliced from 18 exons.